Molecule: long non-coding RNA, 239 nt
Filed under: Mytilus galloprovincialis (Mediterranean mussel)
Lineage: Eukaryota; Metazoa; Mollusca; Bivalvia; Mytilida; Mytilidae
Source: RNAcentral
CUACGAUAGUAGAGGGGCAUUAUGUUUUCUGGUCUGUGCCUCCGUUCGUCCGUUCGUCCAUUCGUCCGUUCGUUCGUCCGUUCGUUCGUCCCGCUUCAGGUUAAAGUUUUUGGUCGAGGUAGUAUUUGAUGAAGUUGAAGUCCAAUCAAUUUGAAACUUAGUACACAUGUUAACUAUGAUAUGAUCUUUCUAAUUUUAAUGCCAAAUUAAAGUAUUGACCCCAAUUUCACGGUCUAGUG